AAGUCGAACGAGAAAGUUCCUUCGGGAAUGAGUAGAGUGGCGCACGGGUGAGUAACAUGUGGGUAACCUGCCCUUUAGCUUGGGAUAACUCUUCGAAAGAAGGGCUAAUACCGGAGAGACCACAGGAACAUCAGUUCCCGGGGUUAAAGGCGGCUUCGGCUGUCACUAGAGGAUGGGCCCGCACAGCAUCAGCUUGUUGGUGGGGUAAUGGCCUACCAAGGCUCCGACGCUUAGCUGGUCUUAGAGGACGAUCAGCCACACUGGAACUGAGACACGGUCCAGACUCCUACGGGAGGCAGCAGUGGGGAAUUUUGCACAAUGGGCGAAAGCCUGAUGCAGCAACGCCGCGUGAGGGAUGAAGGCUCUCGGGUUGUAAAUCUCUGUCGGGAGGGACAAACGGCCUUAUGGUUAAUACCCAUAGGGUUUGAUGGUACCUCCAAAGGAAGGGGCGGCUAACUCCGUGCCAGCAGCCGCGGUAAUACGGAGGCCCCAAGCGUUGUUCGGAAUUACUGGGCGUAAAGAGAGCGUAGGUGGCGACUCAAGUCAGAUGUGAAAGCCCGGGGCUUAACCUCGGAACUGCAUUUGAUACUGGGUCGCUGGAGUGCGGUAGAGGAAAGUGGAAUUCCCGGUGUAGGGGUGAAAUCCGUAGAUAUCGGGAGGAAUACCAAUUGCGAAGGCAACUUUCUGGUCCGUAACUGACACUGAGGCUCGAAAGCGUGGGUAGCAAACAGGAUUAGAUACCAUGGUAGUCCACGCCGUAAACGAUGGGUGCUUGCCGUUGGGAGAUCAAACCCUCUCAGUGGCGGAGUUAACGCGUUAAGCACCCCGCCUGGGGAGUACGGUCGCAAGAUUAAAACUCAAAGAAAUUGACGGGGACCCGCACAAGCAGUGGAGCAUGUGGUUUAAUUCGACGCAACGCGAAGAACCUUAUCCUGGCCUUGACAUCCCUGGACAACCUGUGAAAGCAGGCUUUCUCUUCGGAGACUGGGUGACAGGUGCUGCAUGGCUGUCGUCAGCUCGUGUCGUGAGAUGUUGGGUUAAGUCCCGUAACGAGCGCAACCCACGCCUCUUGUUGCCAGCAUUAAGUUGGGCACUCUAGAGGGACUGCCGGCGUCAAGCCGGAGGAAGGUGUGGAUGACGUCAAGUCCUCAUGGCCCUUAUGGCCAGGGCUACACACGUGCUACAAUCCAAAGUACAAAGGGCAGCGAAACCGCAAGGUUCAGCCAAUCCCAAAAAACUUUGGUCAGUUCGGAUUGAGGUCUGCAACUCGACCUCAUGAAGCUGGAAUUGCUAGUAAUCGCAGAUCAGCAUGCUGCGGUGAAUACGUUCCCGGGUCUUGUACACACCGCCCGUCACACCACGAAAGUCGUUUGCACCAGAAGUCGGUGAGCUAACCGCAAGGAGGCA
This 1407-nucleotide ribosomal RNA is filed under the name uncultured organism. RNAcentral describes it as "bacterial SSU rRNA". It matches the Rfam family "Bacterial small subunit ribosomal RNA". The record is from RNAcentral.